UACAAUAAUAAUAAAAGCAUUAAGUGGAUGCCUUGGCAUUAAUUUUAUUUUUAGGACGUAAAAAAUGCGAAAAGCUAUAUUAAAUAAUAAUAUAUUUUGAAAUAUAGAUUUCCUAGAGAAAACUUUUUCUUUGUGAAAAUUUUAAAAGCAGUGAAUUGAAAUAUCUAAGUAACUGUUAAAAAAAUCAAACGAGAUUCUGUGAGUAAUGACGAGUGAAAAUGGAAAAUAGGUUUAUAAAAAUAAA
Molecule: ribosomal RNA, 244 nt
Rfam family: Bacterial large subunit ribosomal RNA
Source: Rfam